GCCUUGGUAGCUCAGCCGGCAGAGCCCGUGCCUUUUAAGCCCGUGGCCGCGGGUUCGAGCCCCGCUCGAGGUG
Perkinsus marinus ATCC 50983 is the source of this 73-nucleotide non-coding RNA. Lineage: Eukaryota; Perkinsozoa; Perkinsida; Perkinsidae. The record is from Rfam.